GACGAACGCUGGCGGCGUGCUUAACACAUGCAAGUCGAACGGUGAAGGGACCGGUUUUUGCUGGUUCUGGAUGAGUGGCGAACGGGUGAGUAACACGUGAGUAACCUGCCCCCUUCUUCUGGAUAACCGCAUGAAAGUGUGGCUAAUACGGGAUAUUCUGCGCCUGCUGCAUGGUGGGUGUGGGAAAGAUAUUGUUUCGGUGGGGGAUGGGCUCGCGGCCUAUCAGCUUGUUGGUGGGGUGAUGGCCUACCAAGGCGGUGACGGGUAGCCGGCCUGAGAGGGUGGACGGUCACACUGGGACUGAGACACGGCCCAGACUCCUGCGGGAGGCAGCAGUGGGGAAUAUUGCACAAUGGGCGCAAGCCUGAUGCAGCGACGCCGCGUGAGGGAUGGAGGCCUUCGGGUUGUAAACCUCUUUCGCCAGUGAAGCAGGCCUGUCCCUUUUGUGGGUGGGUUGACGGUAGCUGGAUAAGAAGCGCCGGCUAACUACGUG
RNAcentral lists this ribosomal RNA (493 nucleotides) under uncultured bacterium. RNAcentral describes it as "partial 16S ribosomal RNA". It matches the Rfam family "Bacterial small subunit ribosomal RNA", at positions 28 to 507 of the family's 1533-position model. The record is from RNAcentral.